Non-coding RNA from Salvia hispanica, 1703 nucleotides. NCBI's taxonomy places the organism in Eukaryota, Viridiplantae, Streptophyta, Magnoliopsida, Lamiales, Lamiaceae. The record is from RefSeq and is a predicted model, not a curated record.
GCAUCUCAACCAUUUGUAAACUGUUUUUUUCUUAUAAAAAGUAUUCUCAAACUUUCAUUGGUUCAGUUAGAUCCUUGUUUAGCGAUCCAGUUUAACCAAAUUAUUGAGACCAAAUUAUUGCGAACUGCAAAGCUUAAGCAUAACUGAAACACAGCUGAGUACCGCCAUUUUGCGUUCCUUGAUCAAGUAAUCAUAAAAUGCUAAGUACCAAACCCUAAACCAUGGCAGUAACAUUGUAAAAAGCCGAGUACCACCAUUCUGGGUUUCUUGAUCAAGUAACUGGAUGCCAGUGGCAGUCAUCUAUUGCCUUUUGCUCCACUGACUGGUAAUUUAAUUAGCAAUAAGAAACAUUAGAAUCAUGUAAUGGAACUGAUGUAUAAAGAUGUUGUAUUAAUAAGGGUGGAAAUAUUGAAAUACUUGGUGUUAGAACUUUCUUCACAUAGUUCUCUCGAUUACAGUCAGUGGUGACUGGUGAUGAUGAAUUGUGUGAAACCACAAUUACUCGAGAUUCUGUAAGCCAGAUCUUUUGUGCAAAAAAGUGUACUCCAUAAUUUAUUAUGGAGAGAGAAUGGCAGUUACUUCAGUUUUUCUGUUUGUCUCGCCAUCUGCUGUCGUUGAUUCAUUGAAUCAGGGAUAUCAACAUUGUCGUUGGCUGCUUCCUUUGUUGCCAUGGUGUUGCAGCACCGAAAUGGGAUGGAUGAAACUACACAAUGGCUCUCAUGUAGUUGUCAUAUGGUAUGGAACAAAUCUAUUGGAAAUAGAUAUUGGUUUGCCUGUUGGAAGGAGAAUCUACAAGGGAAUGAUCUUGCAGCAAACAAAUAGCGCAGACAGUAUCCAAUGAAGGCGACAGGGAAGUAGCAGAGGGCGACAACAAUGUAAGCAACGAUGACUCCCUUCCACAUGGGUCCCUUGGAAGGCUUCUCCGGUGUUGAAGGGAUGGUGGCUUGAAUCUCCAGGACAACAUUGUGUCCUGCAUAGGCGAAAGCCACCUCUCCCAAAGCACUGAAGAAGUUGAAAACAGUACCAGCUGUGGUUGUGGCUUUGUAACCAUAUUGCACGUUUGGUUGAACUCCCUUUUUCAGCGCAGCCCCCCAGGCAAUCGUGGAAUAGCUUUACAGUCGACAAAAUCAUCAUCCAAGGACACUCCAGAAAUGGCGUUGAGGUUGGGAAGAUGUGAGAGGACAAAAUGCACAGAGGCGAAGAUCAUUAUAAAAUAAGUAAGCUUGAUGUCUUUGCAGUUAUCACCACAGACCACGUUAUGGAAUUUCUGGAGUGAUUUCCCCCCUGUGACCAUGUAGACAAUGUCCACUCCAACUUCAACAAUUAGCUGCUGAGGCACAACGAUGUAGAGCCCGAGCUUCUCUCCAAAAGCAUGCUGUCCGAGCUCGUGAUAUCUAUCAAACCUCUUGCCAGGUACCAUUUCAUGCAUCUCAACCAUCUGCCACAAUGUGUAGAAGGUUGGAAUAGUUACCAUCCUAGUUCAGACAUGGCAUAAGGGAGACCGAGAACUCCAGCUCCAACCAUGGCUGUGACAUUGUGAAAAGCUGAGUACCACCAUUUUGCAUUUCUUGAAGAAGUGAUAGGCAACCAAUCAUCAAUAGCCUUCUGUUCUGCAGUCCUAUUAUCCACCUGCACAUUUAUUUUCUCCAUCACUAUUGUGUGUAAUGAAUGGAAGUAAACUCUUUUUUGGCUAAGUGUACUAA